This 402-nucleotide long non-coding RNA is filed under the name Lactuca sativa (garden lettuce). RNAcentral describes it as "long non-coding RNA (LSAT_LNC009230)". Lineage: Eukaryota; Viridiplantae; Streptophyta; Magnoliopsida; Asterales; Asteraceae. The record is from RNAcentral.
UUGAAUUUCAUCAGCAGCUUCUUUGAAUUCCUUAUUUCUAACGAAAUGUGUCUGGUUGUAAUCCGUUUUGAAUUCCUGCAACAACGCUUCGAAUUCUGCUUCGUUCAAGUUCUUGUUCAUCUCGGUGUUGAAUAGUUGCUCCAUCUCGUCGAAAUCAGUCGUGUAGAAGCGUGGCGCCAGCAGGGUUUCCUUGAUUCCCUUCUUGUUUUUUCCACCGCCGGUUCCUUUUGUGGUGGUGGGGGUGGUGGUGGUGGCUGCUGACAUACGAACAAUGGUUGAGAUUCUCUGUGGCAGGAUUGUUCUUGCGGAGGUGAUGGUGGUGCUGCCGCAGUAUCCGAUUUUGGAGAUGGGUUUGAGCAAUGCCAUCUCUGCUGCCAUUGUUGGUUGUGGAUUUCGUUGUUG